CCACAUGCCGCGUGUGGGAUGAAGCCCUCGGGUUGUAACCACUUUUGGCAGGAAAGAAUCGCCUGUGCUAAUACCAUGGGCGGAUGACGGUACCUGCAGAAUAAGCACCGGCUAACUACGUGCCAGCAGCCGCGGUAAUACGUAGGGUGCGAGCGUUAAUCGGAAUUACUGGGCGUAAAGCGUGCGCAGGCGGCUUUGCAAGACAGAUGUGAAAUCCCCGGGCUCAACCUGGGAACUGCAUUUGUGACUGCAAGGCUAGAGUACGGCAGAGGGGGAUGGAAUUCCGCGUGUAGCAGUGAAAUGCGUAGAUAUGCGGAGGAACACCGAUGGCGAAGGCAAUCCCCUGGGCCUGCACUGACGCUCAUGCACGAAAGCGUGGGGAGCAAACAGGAUUAGAUACCCUGGUAGUCCACGCCCUAAACGAUGUCAACUGGUUGUAGGACGGCUUGCUGUUCAGUAACGAAGCUAACGCGUGAAGUUGACCGGCUGGGGAGUACGGCCGCAAGGUUGAAACUCA
Molecule: ribosomal RNA, 517 nt
Filed under: uncultured bacterium
Lineage: Bacteria
Description: bacterial SSU rRNA
Rfam family: Bacterial small subunit ribosomal RNA
Source: RNAcentral